GCUGAAUCCCCUCACGGUACAUAUUUUCCUGUUUAGAGGCAAAGUCAACCUCUAACAGAAAAUAGAUAAAUAUUUCUUAUUUCCCUUCUGAUUCAAGCUGAGCAUAAUUACAAUAAAAAUAAAACUUGGACCACAGUUUGUACAUUCAUAUACUAAUGUAAAUUAUGUUAAUAUAGCACCAAAAAUAGAAUCCUCUUCCAAAGAGCUCUUUUUUACUUUCUUGCUUUAAGUACAUUUCAGAGCCUGUACUUUUUUUACUUUUAACUUGAGUAAAGAAGUUGAAUCAGUUCAUCAACUUUUUCUGGAGUAUUUUUAACAGAAGUAUUUGUACCUCUACUUAAGUACAGAAUCUUUCUACUUUUUCCAACUUGGAUUGUCAUCAAAGCAGGGGUCAGUCAGGAGGCACACCAACAUCUGACUUGUGCACCAUGAAAACAGACAGACCUGUGGAGGUUCCUCAUUAUACCUCAACAAAAAGAGAACUGAAAAAGAACUAUGAGGAUGUCUACUGCAAUGACAUUUUCACCAGUGAUCAUGUAUAUGGCAACAUAGGGACUGACUGCGACGAGACCAAAUAUGCCAAUGUCUAAGAUCUAUGGAAAACCAGUCCAUGUUUAUUUGCUCUGAGUCAAAGAUAUAUUUAGCUACUUCUUCAUCACAAAGGGUCACCACAGGUUGUAGCUUGGCACAUUUGAUUUGGUGGAUUUUUAUGCCAGAUGCCCUUCCUGAUGCAAACCUAAAGGGCAUUUGUACUUCCAG
This is a long non-coding RNA of Oreochromis aureus, 759 nucleotides long. NCBI's taxonomy places the organism in Eukaryota, Metazoa, Chordata, Actinopteri, Cichliformes, Cichlidae. The record is from Ensembl.